RNAcentral lists this ribosomal RNA (341 nucleotides) under Dolichopus cilifemoratus. RNAcentral's name for it is "partial 12S ribosomal RNA". Lineage: Eukaryota; Metazoa; Arthropoda; Insecta; Diptera; Dolichopodidae. The record is from RNAcentral.
AAAAAUUGUACAAUUAUAAAUCCAGAGUAGUAUUAGUUAAGAUCUUGAAACUCAAAAAAUUUGGCGGUAUUUUAGUCUAUUUAGAGGAACCUGUAGUAUAAUCGAUAAUCCACGAUGGACCUCACUUAAUUUUGUUUUUCAGUUUGUAUACCGCUGUUAUUUGAAGAUUUUAUAAGAAUAUUAAUUUUCAUAAUUUUAAAUUAAAAAAUAUAUCAGGUCAAGGUGCAGCUUAUGAUUAAGAAUUUAUGGGUUACAAUAAAAUUAUUUAUACGAAUAAAUAUAUGAAAUUGUAUUUUGAAGGUGGAUUUAAUAGUAAAUUUUUAAAGAUAAAAGAAUUGAUU